Molecule: ribosomal RNA, 495 nt
Filed under: Triticum aestivum (bread wheat)
Lineage: Eukaryota; Viridiplantae; Streptophyta; Magnoliopsida; Poales; Poaceae
Description: partial small subunit ribosomal RNA
Source: RNAcentral
AUGGAGAUUUUGAUGAUUAGGACAACAGUGAAUGAGCCAGAGGAGGCCACAAUGUCAAGAUUCUUUCAUGGGCUGAAUGAAGAUGUGCAAGAAAGCAUAGUGAUGGUUACAUAUCAAGAUUUGCGUGGACUUGUGCAUCAAGCUAUUCAUGUAGAGCAGCAGCUGAAGCGUCGCCGAAAUCGCAGCCAAACCUAUACAUCAAGCACUUGGAGAGGUUCAGUUCAACUAGAAGUAGAUGAAAGUGUUGCUGCAGAUUUUCGCUCACACAACAAGAUGACUGCAAAAGAAGCUAAUGCAUCAAAGGUUGAAUCUUCCAAUACUCCUAUCACUCGCAUUAGUAAUAUUCAGUGCCACACAUGCAAGGGUAGAGGUCACUUCAAGAAGGAUUGUCCUAAUUUGAAGAAGGUGCUGCUCACAAAUGAUUGGUAUGUCACCGAUGACUCAAGUGACAAAUAUGAAUCUGAGAAGGAAGAUGCAACAUAUUGUACUUUUUAG